AGGCCCGUUGGUCAAGCGGUUAAGACACCGCCCUUUCACGGCGGUAACACGGGUUCGAAUCCCGUACGGGUCA
Molecule: transfer RNA, 73 nt
Filed under: Bacillus atrophaeus UCMB-5137
Lineage: Bacteria; Bacillati; Bacillota; Bacilli; Caryophanales; Bacillaceae
Description: tRNA-Glu
Rfam family: tRNA
About the family: Transfer RNA (tRNA) molecules are approximately 80 nucleotides in length. Their secondary structure includes four short double-helical elements and three loops (D, anti-codon, and T loops).
Source: RNAcentral